This 3867-nucleotide long non-coding RNA is filed under the name Sus scrofa (pig). RNAcentral's name for it is "lncRNA (ENSSSCG00035037075.1)". Lineage: Eukaryota; Metazoa; Chordata; Mammalia; Artiodactyla; Suidae. The record is from RNAcentral.
GCCAUUUCUUGGGCCGCUCCCGCGGCAUAUGGAGGUUCCCAGGCUUGGGGUCGAAUCGGAGCUGUAGCUGCCGGCCUAUGCCAGAGCCACAGCAAUGCGGGAUCUGAGCCGAGUCUGCAGCCUACACCACAGUUCACGGCAAUGCUGGAUCCUUAAUCCACUGAGCAAGGCCAGGGAUCGAACCUGCAACCCCAUGGUUCCUAGUCGGAUUCGUUAACCACCGCACAUGACGGGAACUCCUGCGUCCACGUUUUAAGAAUGAUUCCCUGACUCAAAUCUCUAGAACACUCGUCUCCUAAAUUACACCCCAUGUAUUCAUAUUCAAACCUCCACUAAUAGCUAAGACAGGCAACUAAGCAUCCACGUGCCCAAACCAGAACCCACAGUGUAGCCAACAUCCUCCCGAAUUCCUCAGUGUGACAGACCUUCCCCCCAUGUACACAGCCAGAAACCAUCUCUAAUCAUCUUUAUCCCUCUUAUUCCUCAUGGGCAAUCACCACACUGAAUUACAUUUUACUUUUUCACAACUCUUUCCUCCAGGUCGACCACUGCUAUGUUCCAUCAAAACCUUUCUCCUAGAGGGUUGUUACAAUAGAAACCUCACUGAUUCACAGCCUCAAGUCCCAAGUUCCAUUCACUGACCUUCUAAAGACCCAUCAGAUUAUUAUUUUUAACCCCCAAACCUGCUUCUGUCCUUCUUUCCAUUCUUACGUGAUUACUCCUCUCUACAGGAAAGAAUUUUCACGUGCUAGUGGAAUAUGAAUUGCAUCUAUGUUGGGGACCGGAGACUUAUAAUACAGAUGCUGGGUCUCCCACAAGGAAGUCAGUUUUAUAUUCCCUCCGGGUGAUUCUGGUUGGAUGGCAUGAGAUCAACCUGUAACAAACAACAGACUACAAGAUACAGAGCUCCUUUCAAGGAUAUACAACAUGCUUGCAGAUCAAGCCAGCACUUGAUAGCCUUGACAAGCCCAGGUCCCAUUUUCCAUAAUACUUCAUCUGGAAAUAAAAAUUAGUAUAGCCUACCUGCAUCAUCAUUUCCAAAAGCAAAGCACUAUAGUGUCCUAAGUAUAGUAUGGUGGAAGAAAAAAAAGGAAUGUACUUUAAAAUAAUUUCUUAUUUACAUAUUUGUGCAAAACCAGACUGGGAAAUAUCAUGAAGCAGAUAGGUGCUCACGUCCAUACAUAGAAUCACCAUGAACACAACAGCUACAAACAGAUCAACAGUGCUUCUACUGGUAAGUGUGUUAUUUAGUAAAGGUCCAUGUAAAACAAUGUGAAGCUGAGUCAAGGCAUAACUCUCCCAGACUUCAGGCAAUAUUACAAAGUGACAGUAAUCAAGACAGUGUGGUACUGGCAGCAAAACAGACAGACCCACCAAUGGAACAGAACAGAGAACCCAGAAAUAAACCCAGACACCCACAGUCAAUUAACCUUCAACAAAGGAAGCAAGAAAAUAAAAUGGGACAAAGAGUCUUUUCAGCAAGUGGUGCUGGGAAAAUUGGACAGCUGCAUCUAAAUCAGUGAAACUGGAACAUGCCCUCACACCAUGCACAAAAAUAAACUCAAAAUGACUCAAAGACUUAAACCUAAGACAAGACACCAUCAGACUCCUAGAAGAGAACAUAGGCAAAACCUCCUGACAUCAACCUUACAAACGUUUUCUUAGGUCAGUCUCCCAAGGCAAUAGAAAUAAAAGCAAAAAUAAAACCAAUAGGACCUAAUCAAAGUAGCAAGCUUUGCACAGCAAAGGAAACCAUUAAAAAAAAAAAAAAAGACAACCUACAGAAUGGGAGAAAAUAGUUUCAAACGAUGCAGCUGACAAGGGCUUAAUCUCUAAAAUAUACAAGCAACUUAUACAACUCAACAGCAAAAAAAAACAACCACCCAAUUGAACCAAUGGGCAAACGACCUGAAUAGACAUUUCACCAAAGAAGAUAUAGAGGUGGCCAACAGGCACAUAAAAAAAUGCUCUACAUCACUGAUUAUUAGAGAAAUGCACAUCAAAACUACUAUGAGAUACCACCUCACACCAAUCACAAUGGCCAUCAUUAACAAGUCAAGAAAUAACAAAUGCUAGAGAGGGUAUGGAGAAAAGAGAACCCUCCUACACUGCUGGUGGGAAUGUAAAUUGAUACAACCACCAUGGAAAACAGUAUGGUGGUAUCUCAGAAAAGUAAAUAUAGAACUACCAUAUGAUCCAGCAAUCUCACUCUUGGGCAUUUAUCCGGAAAAAAGCUUCCCUUGGAAAAGGACACAUGCACCUGCAUGUUCACUGCAGCACUAUUCACAAUAGCCAAGAUAUAGAAACCACCUAAAUGUCCAUCAACAGAUGAUUGGAUUAAGAUGUGGUAUAUAUACAAAAUGGAGUACUACUCAGCCAUAGAAAAGAACAAAAUAAUGCCAUUUUUAGCAACACGGAACUGGAGACUCUCAUACUAAGUGAAGUUAAGUCAGAAAGAGACAAACAGCAUAUGAUAUCACCUAUAUCUGGAAUCUAAUAUAUGACACAAAUGAACCUUUCCACAGAAAAACUCAUGGACUUGGAAAGCAGACUUGUGGUUGUGGGGGGGUGGGGGAAGGGAUUGGGAUGGACUGGGUUUAACAGAUGCAAACUAUUGCCUUUGGAAAGGAUAAGCAAUGAGAUCCUGCUGUAUAGCACUGGGAACUGUAUCUAGUCUCGUGAUGGAGCAUGAUGGAGGAUAAUGUAAGGAAAAGAAUGCAUAUAUAUGUGGGAUGGGGGUUGUGUGUGACUGGAUCACUUUGCUGUAUAGUAGAAAAUUGACAGAACACUGUAAAGCAACUAUAAUGGAAAAAAUAAAAAUCAUUUAACUAGUUUUAAAAAAGAAAUAGAACUAUUACAUUGGCAUCAGAAAGAAAGAAAAAGAAAGAAAGAAAGAAAGAAAGAAAGAAAGAAAGAAAGAAAGAAAGAAAGAAAGGAAGAAAGAAAGAAAGAGAAAGCAAAGGAAUCUGUGCAGGACAGCCUAUGUGUUGCAGGGUACCAGCAUCCUGGGCUCUACUCACUAAAUGCUAGCAGGGUUCCCCCGAUCAGUGAGGACCAAAAAAAGCACCAUACCAGUUUCCAAGACACCUCCUAGAGUGAAGAGCCCCUACCCCACAAUCUAGCAUCCACUCCAUCACUCCACAUAAGUAAUUAAAGUGACCAUGAUUUUUAGGUCUCAAAUCCUGUAGAUACUUGUCUUUUCUCAUCCUCUGUCUGCAGUUGGUCUCAACAUGCUCUUCCCUUGACUGUUAGCGUAACAAACUCCCCCAAUUUUCUUACCUUCCUUUCACUCCUUAUUCUUAGUAUCCUUUAGGAGCUCAUCCCCUCCCCUACCUGGCCAUGAAAUAUUGCGAGUCGGUGACACCCACCCAGAGGCCUCCUUCCUUCCUCCAUCUCUGCUCUUUCUCUAGUCUCUUCCCCAUCGUUUCAAUCACCAUCUAUAUACCUCCAACCGUCUCAAGUUUGUAAUAUCCCAAGCAGACCUCUGUUCCCAACUCCAAAGCUAUCAAUGCAACUACCCAGUAACAUCACUUUACAGUAUGUCCAAGGAGUUUAGCCAAACUGUCUCAUCACCUGCCAGCCACACGGCAGCCACCUCAGUUCCCCCUCAAAGCUUGGCCCUCUCCUCCUCGCUGGGUAAAUGGACCAGCAUCAGUCUAGGUAUCCACAUUGGAUACCUUGGGACUCUGUCCCAUGUGCAAUCCAUCCACAAAAUUCUAUGGACUUUCUCAGCUUGUUCACCAGUACUACUCCCGGGACCUAGCACAGCACGUGACACAAAUAAGUGUGCAAUAAAUAUAUAUGAAAUGAACAAGCGAGCGGCCUACUUGUGGACAUCUCCCUUCUUCCCCCCAAACCAUUUUCCCU